AUACAGCGAAACUGCGAAUGGCUCAUUAUAUAAGUUAUCGUUUAUUUGAUAGUACCUUACUACUUGGAUAACCGUGGUAAUUCUAGAGCUAAUACAUGCUAAAAAUCCCGACUUACGAAGGGAUGUAUUUAUUAGAUUAAAAACCAAUGCCCUUCGGGGCUCACUGGUGAUUCAUAAUAACUUCUCGAAUCGCAUGGCCUUGCGCCGGCGAUGGUUCAUUCAAAUUUCUUCCCUAUCAACUUUCGAUGCUAGAGUAGUGUUCUAGCAUGGUUACAACGGGUAACGGAGGGUUAGGGCUCGACCCCGGAGAAGGAGCCUGAGAAACGGCUACUACAUCCAAGGAAGGCAGCAGGCGCGCAAAUUACCCAAUCCCGACACGGGGAGGUAGUGACGAUAAAUACUGAUACAGGGCUCUUUUGGGUCUUGUAAUUGGAAUGAGUACAAUUUAAAUCCCUUAACGAGGAACAAUUGGAGGGCAAGUCUGGUGCCAGCAGCCGCGGUAAUUCCAGCUCCAAUAGCGUAUAUUAAAGUUGUUGUGGUUAAAAAGCUCGUAGUAGAACCUUGGGCCUGGCUGGCCGGUCCGCCUCACCGCGUGCACUGGUCCGGCCGGGCCUUUCCCCCUGUGGAACCUCAUGCCCUUCACUGGGUGUGUGGGAAAACAGGACUUUUACUUUGAAAAAAUUAGAGUGCUCCAGGCAGGCCUAUGCUCGAAUACAUUAGCAUGGAAUAAUAGAAUAGGACGUGUGGUUCUAUUUUGUUGGUUUCUAGGACCGCCGUAAUGAUUAAUAGGGACAGUCGGGGGCAUCAGUAUUCAAUUGUCAGAGGUGAAAUUCUUGGAUUUAUUGAAGACUAACUACUGCGAAAGCAUUUGCCAAGGAUGUUUUCAUUUAUCAGGAACGAAAGUUAGGGGAUCGAAGACGAUCAGAUACCGUCGUAGUCUUAACCAUAAACUAUGCCGACUAGGGAUCGGACGAUGUUAUUUUUUGACUCGUUCGGCACCUUACGAGAAAUCAAAGUGCUUGG
Molecule: ribosomal RNA, 1023 nt
Filed under: Colletotrichum gloeosporioides
Lineage: Eukaryota; Fungi; Ascomycota; Sordariomycetes; Glomerellales; Glomerellaceae
Description: SSU rRNA
Rfam family: Eukaryotic small subunit ribosomal RNA
Source: RNAcentral